Molecule: long non-coding RNA, 1282 nt
Organism: Cydia pomonella (codling moth)
Lineage: Eukaryota; Metazoa; Arthropoda; Insecta; Lepidoptera; Tortricidae
Exons: 4
Source: RefSeq, a predicted model, not a curated record
CUGUGGCUACUAAGUUUUCUUUGGAAAUCCACCUCUAAUUCAAAUUCUCUUUGCAGCUUGUAUUAAAAAUGAAAUUGUUGACAAAAAACAAAUUUUACACUACAGUCAAUACAGAUAAGUGUAGAGAGGGAAAUGUGGUCUUCAUGGUUGGGCCGGUUUACACGUUAAUUACAUGUAGACUGCGAGUUUAACUAUAUGUACUAAUCCGAGUUCGUAUAUAUCUGUAGGGCUAAGAUGGUCGGCUCUUUAUCAUUUGUCACCAUGCCUAUCACGUUCUUAAAGUAUUGACGACCGGUUUGGCCUAGUGGGUGACCCUGCCUACGAAGCUGAUGGUCCCGGGUUCAAAUCCUGGUAAGGGCAUUUAUUCGUGUGACGAGCAUGGAUAUUUGUUCCUGAGUCAUGGGUGUUUUCUAUGUAUUUAAGUAUUUAUAAAUAUUUAUAUAUUAUAUAUAUCGUUGUCUAAGUACCCUCAACACAAGCCUUAUUGAGCUUACUGUGGGACUUAGUCAAUUUGUGUAAUAAUGUCCUAUAAUAUUUAUUUAUUAUUUAUUUAUUUAUUUAUGUAAGCGCGAAAGUGUCGGGCAUAGUGACAGGUGAUAAAAAUGGAACCAUGCUGCCACCGCCGGUCGUAUCUUAGUGACCCAUCUGUCGAGCAUGGAUGUGUAAUUGAAGUAAUUUGCAUGGACAUACAAGGACAUUAAAACAUUUUGUAUGGGGACUGUUGAUGUGUUAAGACUCUUCUUAACAGUGUUUUUGCCUUGUUUGUUUCAGCUCUGGUUAUAACUGCCGUUACGUGCGUAUUUAAUGUUAUAUUCAUAAUAGGCAGCAUUGUGUUCCUGUACUACGGGAUUCGUAAGAACGGAGUGAAGGCUAAAAAAGCAUAUGCGAUAAUUCUACUUAUAAAAGUAAUCGUCGUUAUAAUAGGGGUUAUUAUUUUUGGAGUAUUUGCUGGAGGUUAUUUAAAUUGGGCUUCUGGAGUUUGUUAUAUCAUUGUCGACAUUUGGUUUCUCGUGGUGGUAUACAGUUAUUACAAGGAACAUACAGCUGUUUCUGCAUAAACUUGACGUCAUCACGCCGACACUAAACCAAAGAGGCAAAUCCGUGGCACGAUACUUGUGUCAUAAAAUACUACAGUCAUUCUUGAUCGUAUUUGUGGAGUGUUAAAAGACGUUGAAUAUUAUAAUUAAUAUAAAGUGAGGUUUGCAAGCUUGUUAUUUUUUAUCUAAAAAAUUGUCCUGUCUACUUAUAUUUUAUUCUUCAUAAAAUAAAACAUUUGUAAAUU